RNAcentral lists this long non-coding RNA (848 nucleotides) under Oryctolagus cuniculus (rabbit). RNAcentral's name for it is "lncRNA (ENSOCUG00000039634.1)". The record is from RNAcentral. Lineage: Eukaryota; Metazoa; Chordata; Mammalia; Lagomorpha; Leporidae.
GUCUACAGGUCAAGGUUGCUUGGAGAUUAUCAGCACAGUUACUUUCGUGGUGACCCAAAAUUAGCCUGGACUUCAAAGAGCUUCCUCUUUUCUCGGCAUGACAGACUCCUGAAAGAAGUCCUUUUUCCUUUUACAAGGUGAACGCUUCAAAGCACGUGGGAGGAGUAUUUCCUUCUCCGUGUUUACCUUUCAAAGCGACUGGUGAAAGAUGAGCUGAAGACAAAGAGAUGCCUCAGGAAGGAACAAGCUGAUGCUCACACCCAGGGGAGGGGUUUGGUGCACCUGAAGAUUGCCCAAGUGCCAUGGGGCUUGACGUUCACUACUUCUGUUUCUAUUUUAAAAGACUAUUUCAACUGUGCCACCUAUCCGUGGUUUCAUGCCCAUGCUCAGUACAGGAUUUGAAUGAUAAACUUCCCACUAGAUUAGAUCUUAAGGCUGGGCUCAACAUCUGGAGCCAGGUUUGGGGACCCAGUUUUUACAUCACUGAUGAAGAACUGCUCUGCCAAUGCGAAAUAUCUCUCUGCAGUUUGGGGAAUGACUACAGCAGAACAGAAUAUAAAUAUUAUAAACCUGGACAAACGAUAAGAUCAAAAGAUGCCUAGAAGUAAAUUAUACCAACAGGAUCAUAAUAUACAGUUUUUCAAGCAGUUAAGUCAUUAUACUCCGUUUGAAUUUGAUAGAGAAAUUCUCGAAUAUCAGAUUUGUUUCAUGAGGGAUGUUUCUUGUAUUGUCAGUUAAGAUUAAAAAAUAUAACAAAAAAAUGAAAUUUAAAGUGAUCUGUUUCAGUUUUCAAGCAUUUCAUUUAAUCAUCUAAUAAAAAACUCCAUAAUUUGCUUAUACCUUAUACA